This 414-nucleotide long non-coding RNA is filed under the name Salmo salar (Atlantic salmon). Its description in RNAcentral is "lncRNA (ENSSSAG00000082527.1)". Lineage: Eukaryota; Metazoa; Chordata; Actinopteri; Salmoniformes; Salmonidae. The record is from RNAcentral.
ACGAUCUCUCCUGAACCUCUCCACUCCUCUCUCUCCAAGAUCAGAGCAAAGGGUGCAGAGCCAAAAACAGGAGCAAUCGAUACUGUGGCAGAGCAUGAGAGAAGAGAGAGCGAAAUAAAGAGGGAGAGAGAGAACGAGAGGGUGUUUCCAGAGGUAUUCCUUGACCUUCACCAGGCAGCGCUCCACAGCCAUAAAAGAAAACCAACCCUCCAUCUCCCUGUAGAGUUAACCUCUGGACCUGAGCCCUAGGACCAUGCCUCAGGACUACCUGGCUUGAUGACUCCUUGCUGUCCCCAGUCCACCUGGCCGUGCUGCUGCUUCAGUUCCAACUGUUCUGCCUGCGGCUAUGGAACCCUGACCUGUUCACCGGACGUGCUACCUGUCCCAGACCUGCUGUUUUCAACAGCAGGAGAG